UACGUAGGGUGCAAGCGUUAAUCGGAAUUACUGGGCGUAAAGCGUGCGCAGGCGGCUUUGCAAGACAGAUGUGAAAUCCCCGGGCUCAACCUGGGAACUGCAUUUGUGACUGCAAGGCUAGAGUACGGUAGAGGGGGAUGGAAUUCCGCGCGUAGCAGUGAAAUGCGUAGAUAUGCGGAGGAACACCGAUGGCGAAGGCAAUCCCCUGGACCUGUACUGACGCUCAUGCACGAAAGCGUGGGGAGCAAACAGG
RNAcentral lists this ribosomal RNA (253 nucleotides) under uncultured bacterium. RNAcentral's name for it is "partial 16S ribosomal RNA". It matches the Rfam family "Bacterial small subunit ribosomal RNA", at positions 524 to 776 of the family's 1533-position model. The record is from RNAcentral.